This 126-nucleotide ribosomal RNA is filed under the name Botrytis sp. RNAcentral's name for it is "partial large subunit ribosomal RNA". It matches the Rfam family "Eukaryotic large subunit ribosomal RNA", at positions 99 to 224 of the family's 3401-position model. Lineage: Eukaryota; Fungi; Ascomycota; Leotiomycetes; Helotiales; Sclerotiniaceae. The record is from RNAcentral.
CGGUAAAAGCUCAAAUUUGAAAUCUGGCUCUUUUAGAGUCCGAAUUGUAAUUUGUAGAAGAUGCUUCGGGUGUGGUUCCGGUCUAAGUCCAUUGGAAGAUGGCAUCAUAGAGGGUGAGAAUCCCGU